ACAGAAGCAUCUGGACACUUACUGUCCCUAGCGCAAAUGGCAAAAGAGCUUAAUGGUUGGUACCCGAGGUUCAAAUUCGAAUCCUAGUUGAUUUACAUUUUCAACUAAGUUUAUUUCUAAAUGAAAUAAACGAAGAGAGUAGCAUACUACUUUUUUCUCAAAAAAAAAAAACAUAAGCAUCUAGAUGCAUAUUUGUUUAACCGAAAGUUCUGAGGAUGUCUAUAGGUACGGAUAUUUAAAAUUUUAUCUAAAUUUAAACGGAACAAAUUUAUCCGAUGUUAAAUGGAUAUGAUUUCAGAUAUGAAUAUAAAAAAUACAAACCCGACGGAUAUGAAUUCGGAUGUAGAUUUUGACUGUACUUGAUCCAACCCGAUCUGAACCCGAAUUUAUUUUACUUUAUAUACAAUGCAUGUAUAUAUAAAAAUUUGAUGUUAUAUUAAAUUUAUUUUUUAAAAAUUUAGAUUUAAUGUAAUAUAUUUUGAAAUAUUGAAAAGAAAAAUAAUUGGUUCGAAUUUUCGUGUUCGGAUUUUAAAUUUUUGGUUAGGUUCGGAUUUGAGUUUGAAUUUGAGUUUCAGGUUUGAAGUCAGGUUCGGAUUCGGGUUUUUGAAAAUCCGCCUCCGAAUCUCACCCGUUGA
This 635-nucleotide long non-coding RNA is filed under the name Ananas comosus (pineapple). RNAcentral describes it as "long non-coding RNA (ACOM_LNC032239)". Lineage: Eukaryota; Viridiplantae; Streptophyta; Magnoliopsida; Poales; Bromeliaceae. The record is from RNAcentral.